Molecule: ribosomal RNA, 499 nt
Filed under: uncultured Pseudomonadota bacterium
Lineage: Bacteria; Pseudomonadati; Pseudomonadota
Description: bacterial SSU rRNA
Rfam family: Bacterial small subunit ribosomal RNA
Source: RNAcentral
UGGGGAAUAUUGGACAAUGGGCGCAAGCCUGAUCCAGCCAUGCCGCGUGUGUGAAGAAGGCCUUCGGGUUGUAAAGCACUUUAAGUGGGGAGAAAGGCCCGUUGGUUAAUAGCCAGCGGGAUUGAUGUUACCCACAGAAUAAGCACCGGCUAACUCCGUGCCAGUAGCCGCGGUAAUACGGAGGGUGCGAGCGUUAAUCGGAAUUACUGGGCGUAAAGCGCGCGUAGGCGGUUUGUUAAGUCAGCUGUGAAAGCCCCGGGCUCAACCUGGGAACUGCAGUUGAUACUGGCCGACUAGAGUACGAGAGAGGGAGGUAGAAUUCCAUGUGUAGCGGUGAAAUGCGUAGAUAUAUGGAGGAAUACCAGUGGCGAAGGCGGCCUCCUGGCUCGAUACUGACGCUGAGGUGCGAAAGCGUGGGGAUCAAACAGGAUUAGAUACCCUGGUAGUCCACGCCGUAAACGAUGUCUACUAGCCGUUGGGAGACUUGAUUUCUUAGUGG